RNAcentral lists this ribosomal RNA (376 nucleotides) under uncultured bacterium. RNAcentral describes it as "bacterial SSU rRNA". It matches the Rfam family "Bacterial small subunit ribosomal RNA", at positions 524 to 898 of the family's 1533-position model. The record is from RNAcentral.
UACGUAGGGUGCGAGCGUUAAUCGGAAUUACUGGGCGUAAAGCGUGCGCAGGCGGUUUUGUAAGUCAGAUGUGAAAUCCCCGGGCUCAACCUGGGAACUGCAUUUGAGACUGCAAGGCUAGAGUGUGGCAGAGGGGGGUAGAAUUCCACGUGUAGCAGUGAAAUGCGUAGAGAUGUGGAGGAAUACCGAUGGCGAAGGCAGCCCCCUGGGUCACUACUGACGCUCAUGCACGAAAGCGUGGGGAGCAAACAGGAUUAGAUACCCUGGUAGUCCACGCCCUAAACGAUGUCAACUAGGUGUUGGGAGGGUUAAACCUUUUAGUGCCGUAGCUAACGCGUGAAGUUGACCGCCUGGGGAGUACGGCCGCAAGGCUAAA